AUGACCCACAAGCCAGCUUUCCCGUGUAGUGUGGGACACUCUAGGUUGGCUCCUAGAGCCCCCUGGGUCGCUCAGAGCAGACCUCAUCAUGCUGCUUAUCAAACUGAUCGUGUGAAGACUCUUCAAUGCACCAUAAAGGAUUACAGCUCCCCUGUGACUCAAGCUCAAUCCACUCAGAUACCCUGCAGCUCUACUCCAACCCCUGGACUCAGAUGGAGCUCGGGGACUCAGACUGCACCAUGUGAUACAGGGUUUGACUUCCCAGUGGCUUCCUGGAGGAAUUGGGUAACAUAAUUUAGAGGAAUGAGACAGUUAAUGCCCAUUGAAAGGAACUUGAACAGUGAGAGAAAGGAGGUAGGAAGGAUUAAUAGAAUGAACUUUCCCACUUCCUGCUCUCCAAGACCAUCUUGAGACAUGGUGCUUCGACCUAGCCUGUCCAGAAGCUGCUCUCUAUGAUGAGCAAUGGGGUGUUCUUGAUGCACCCAGCAAUCCACUGCUUUUCUCGUGCUUCUCUCUCUGACCUGCCUUCACUUUCUCUUCUCACUCUGGCUGUACUGGAACUGCACGACUCAUUAAGACUAGUUUGUAAGCUGAACCCACACUCCUGAGCAAGCAGACACCCAUUACUGAACUAAACCAAGUGCUCCCCAGUGACAAAGUGUUCCAAGCCCGAAACCUGAGUAACGCCCUAGGUUGCUCUUUCCUUAUGCUUCUCCCAUCCUGUCAGCUACCAAAGGAUUUUUGGUCCCAAUUCCUAAAUAACUCGCAAGUCCCUUAUCUCCUAUCCAUUAUCACGCCCCUACCUUAGCUCACUCCCUCGACAUUAUUCACUUGGACUCUUGCAGACCCAAGGAGUAACGCAGUGCUCCUAGGUGUGUCUGCUCUACCUCCAGGCCCUCCCACACACAUUCGCAACCCCAGCCGCUUUGCUUCGAGUCUUCCCUCCUUUCCUUGCUUAGAGCCUCCCGUUGGUUCCUGUCACUGUCCUGGAGGAUAAAAUCCAUAUUUGUUAGAAUAAAGGCCUUUAAGACCUGCCCUCCUGAGAAUCACUUUAUGUCACUCCCUUCCCCACCUCCCGCCUUCACCUCACCCAUGAGAACUGCUACAGGGCAUGGGCCACUCCCAGUCUCUUCUUCUCCACCGUUCCAGCCAGGCUUUCCAGAAGCAAAUACUGACAUGAGGUUUGGGGUGAAAGCCAUUUAUCAGGGAUAGCAUGUUCAGAGAAAAUAUAGCAUACCUAGUUAAAUUAAAUUUCAUAUCGAUGAAGAAUACCUCUUUAAAAUGUAAGUAUGUCCCAUACAAUAGCUGAAAAAUAAUUAACACCAAAAAUGAUUCAUUGUGUAUCUGAAAUUUAAAUUUAACUUGGCACUCUGUAUUUUUAUUUGCUAAAUCUGGCAGCUCUGACUAGGAAUCAGUAUCUGUGAAGGGAGGAGGGAGGAAGCAGAAUUGGGCCAAGGCAGAACUUUGUCAUAAUGCAGGGCUGGCAAGUCCCGGCUACUCCACAGGGAGCUCUGGAGACACUGUCCCCAGCAGGGUGGUCAGAAUUAGGUCAAAAAGUCAGGCCUGUGCCCCUGCCUUGCUCUGUCGCCCUGGGAAUGGUGUGCAGAGCACACCAGGGAUUGGUGUACAAAGCACACCAGGAAUGGCCUGACUGUGCGUGGUAGCUCUCAGAAGCUCGUGCCAGCCUGGAGGAGCCAGCAGCGUCCGAUGGCCACACUCUGCAGCUGGCUUGCAGGGGGGUCUGGACAGCAGACCUGUGCACCCAUCACGCCUAGCUUCUCUCUGCUUUCUCCUAAGAUUUCUUUCCUAUCAGUCAUUUAAAUAAAGGAGAACCCUCCUCUGACUCUGUGCCUUGCACACCAUGAAUCACUCCCCUUCCUUGCUCCCUCUGGACAUGCUUCAAGUGCCCCCUUUUUCUCUGAGUUACUCGUCUGCCUGUGAUACCUUCCCUGCCCGGUGCUUGAGCUCUUCCAUAGGCUCUACUGUGUC
Molecule: long non-coding RNA, 1989 nt
Filed under: Callithrix jacchus (white-tufted-ear marmoset)
Lineage: Eukaryota; Metazoa; Chordata; Mammalia; Primates; Cebidae
Description: lncRNA (ENSCJAG00000086821.1)
Source: RNAcentral